This 457-nucleotide ribosomal RNA is filed under the name uncultured bacterium. RNAcentral describes it as "bacterial SSU rRNA". It matches the Rfam family "Bacterial small subunit ribosomal RNA", at positions 29 to 533 of the family's 1533-position model. The record is from RNAcentral.
AACGAACGCUGGCGGCAGGCUUAACACAUGCAAGUCGAACGCCCCGCAAGGGGAGUGGCAGACGGGUGAGUAACGCGUGGGAACGUACCUUUCAGUUCGGAAUAACUCAGGGAAACUUGUGCUAAUACUGGAUACGCCCGCAAGGGGAAAGAUUUAUCGCUGAAAGAUCGGCCCGCGUUGGAUUAGCUAGUUGGUGGGGUAAAGGCCUACCAAGGCGACGAUCCAUAGCUGGUCUGAGAGGAUGAUCAGCCACACUGGGACUGAGACACGGCCCAGACUCCUACGGGAGGCAGCAGUGGGGAAUAUUGGACAAUGGGCGCAAGCCUGAUCCAGCCAUGCCGCGUGAGCGAUGAAGGCCUUAGGGUUGUAAAGCUCUUUCAGUGGGGAAGAUAAUGACUGUACCCACAGAAGAAGCCCCGGCUAACUCCGUGCCAGCAGCCGCGGUAAUGUACAGUGU